This 184-nucleotide ribosomal RNA is filed under the name Discoba sp. Its description in RNAcentral is "partial small subunit ribosomal RNA". It matches the Rfam family "Eukaryotic small subunit ribosomal RNA", at positions 1296 to 1460 of the family's 1831-position model. The record is from RNAcentral.
CGUUCGUGGAGUGAUUUGUUUGGUUGAUUCCGUGAACGAACGAGAUCUCAGCUCCUAAAUAGGGGACGGAUCGCUUACGCCCAGGUUGGAGGUCCUUCCGGGCUAUCCUCUUGGGUAGAUGCCGUCUGCCUUCUUAGGAGAACAUCGUGCGUUCUGCAGCACGAUGGAGCGAGCCAAUAGCAGG